UACGAAGGGGGCUAGCGUUGCUCGGAAUGACUGGGCGUAAAGGGCGCGUAGGCGGAUGGCACAGUCAGGCGUGAAAGCCCCGGGCUUAACCUGGGAGGUGCGUUUGAUACGGAUGGGCUAGAGUUCGGGAGAGGAGAGUGGAAUUCCCAGUGUAGAGGUGAAAUUCGUAGAUAUUGGGAAGAACACCGGUGGCGAAGGCGGCUCUCUGGACCGAGACUGACGCUGAGGCGCGAAAGCGUGGGGAGCAAACAGG
This 253-nucleotide ribosomal RNA is filed under the name uncultured bacterium. RNAcentral describes it as "partial 16S ribosomal RNA". It matches the Rfam family "Bacterial small subunit ribosomal RNA", at positions 524 to 776 of the family's 1533-position model. The record is from RNAcentral.